AUAGAAUAUUAAGCGUUUCACUAUAAGAUUAAGGUUUAUUUUAGGACUAUGAGUUUAAGUUGAGAACUUAUCUUGUAGGACCUACAGAAGAGGAUACUUAGGUUCCUGAUCAGCUCAGUUAAAUUAUUUGGAUUGUCUCCAAAUCAGGUGAGGCUUUAUUUACGAAAUGUAUGUUGAGCUAAUAAGCUCACUCAUACGAAAUUUUAAAGUGGAUGGUUCAUGUUUAAAAUAUUUUUGCUCUCUAUUGGUUAUUGCUGCCACCAGAACAUUGUUGGCUUCGCCAACCAGAACUUUGUUAGCUCUGCUAACCAGAAUUGUGUACGUACACUAGAACCUGUUGUCUCGAGAGAUUCGAUGACAACCAGUUGUAGAUAGCACGCCCAAUAGAUGAGCCAGGAAAAUAUGAGCUCAGAUUGUUUUAGUAUGCAUGGAAUGACUCACUUUAAAAACAUUCUGUGUCAUAUUGUUUAAGGCAUGAAUUAUCUUUUUCAGUAAAUGAUUUUUAAAAUGUUUUUAAACGGCUCAACCCACUGAGUACACUAGUACUCAGCCCUGCAAUUGUUUUCAAAACCUUUUGCAGAUUGAGCAGCUGGUGGUGACGUGCGAGGCUGAGGAAGGGUUGUUGCUAUGGAUUUUGAAUAAAUGCUAUGUUUACUUCCGCUGAAAUAAAUUCACUUAGUGAAUAUUAUCUGUUGCCCAACUAUGUUAAUACUUUAUUCAUAUUUUUAUGUGAAUUUCACUCUCCAUCACUUUCUUAGCGAUUGUUUUCCGCAUCUAUCAUUUGCUUAGUAUGAGACAUUGUCUUGGUCUCAGACCUUCGAACUUCCGAUCCUGAUAGGGAGAAUAAUUAUGUUAUAACGUCGUACUUGUUUUCAUUUAAAUACGGCAUAAUGCCCAACCCUCAGGGCACAUUACCUAUUUUAUUCAAGUAAAGCUUAGUAGUCCUGUCACAUAACCCAUUUCUUUUUCUCCCGAGAAAUUAGGGCUGUCACAAAUGGUAUCAGAGCAAAAGUUCUUGGCUCUGAGACCGCUAUUUCAUUGAUGUUGAGUCUAGAAUAGCAUCUCUAGACUUCUAAGCUACACAGCAACCCUCAGCUCGCCUUCACACCGCUCUCAAGAAAGAAAGGUACGCGAUUUUAACAAAUUUUACUUAAAGUGCGUACAAGUAUUUAAAGUGGUUUUAAAAGCAAG
This 1191-nucleotide long non-coding RNA is filed under the name Salvia miltiorrhiza (redroot sage). Its description in RNAcentral is "long non-coding RNA (SMIL_LNC008087)". The record is from RNAcentral. Lineage: Eukaryota; Viridiplantae; Streptophyta; Magnoliopsida; Lamiales; Lamiaceae.